RNAcentral lists this ribosomal RNA (428 nucleotides) under Chloroflexota bacterium. RNAcentral describes it as "Chloroflexi bacterium partial 16S ribosomal RNA". It matches the Rfam family "Bacterial small subunit ribosomal RNA", at positions 355 to 776 of the family's 1533-position model. Lineage: Bacteria; Bacillati; Chloroflexota. The record is from RNAcentral.
UGGGGAAUAUUGCACAAUGGGCGCAAGCCUGAUGCAGCCAUGCCGCGUGUAUGAAGAAGGCCUUCGGGUUGUAAAGUACUUUCAGUCGGGAGGAAGGUGGUAAGGUUAAUAACCUUAUCAAUUGACGUUACCGACAGAAGAAGCACCGGCUAACUCCGUGCCAGCAGCCGCGGUAAUACGGAGGGUGCAAGCGUUAAUCGGAAUUACUGGGCGUAAAGCGCACGCAGGCGGUUGAUUGAGUCAGAUGUGAAAUCCCCGGGCUUAACCCGGGAAUUGCAUCUGAUACUGGUCAGCUAGAGUCUUGUAGAGGGGGUAGAAUUCCAUGUGUAGCGGUGAAAUGCGUAGAGAUGUGGAGGAAUACCGGUGGCGAAGGCGGCCCCCUGGACAAAGACUGACGCUCAGGUGCGAAAGCGUGGGGAGCAAACAGG